CAGGCUUAACACAUGCAAGUCGAGGGGCAGCAUGGUCUUAGCUUGCUAAGGCCGAUGGCGACCGGCGCACGGGUGAGUAACACGUAUCCAACCUGCCGUCUACUCUUGGACAGCCUUCUGAAAGGAAGAUUAAUACAAGAUGGCAUCAUGAGUCCGCAUGUUCACAUGAUUAAAGGUAUUCCGGUAGACGAUGGGGAUGCGUUCCAUUAGAUAGUAGGCGGGGUAACGGCCCACCUAGUCUUCGAUGGAUAGGGGUUCUGAGAGGAAGGUCCCCCACAUUGGAACUGAGACACGGUCCAAACUCCUACGGGAGGCAGCAGUGAGGAAUAUUGGUCAAUGGGCGAGAGCCUGAACCAGCCAAGUAGCGUGAAGGAUGACUGCCCUAUGGGUUGUAAACUUCUUUUAUAAAGGAAUAAAGUCGGGUAUGGAUACCCGUUUGCAUGUACUUUAUGAAUAAGGAUCGGCUAACUCCGUGCCAGCAGCCGCGGUAAUACGGAGGAUCCGAGCGUUAUCCGGAUUUAUUGGGUUUAAAGGGAGCGUAGAUGGAUGUUUAAGUCAGUUGUGAAAGUUUGCGGCUCAACCGUAAAAUUGCAGUUGAUACUGGAUAUCUUGAGUGCAGUUGAGGCAGGCGGAAUUCGUGGUGUAGCGGUGAAAUGCUUAGAUAUCACGAAGAACUCCGAUUGCGAAGGCAGCCUGCUAAGCUGCAACUGACAUUGAGGCUCGAAAGUGUGGGUAUCAAACAGGAUUAGAUACCCUGGUAGUCCACACGGUAAACGAUGAAUACUCGCUGUUUGCGAUAUACAGCAAGCGGCCAAGCGAAAGCGUUAAGUAUUCCACCUGGGGAGUACGCCGGCAACGGUGAAACUCAAAGGAAUUGACGGGGGCCCGCACAAGCGGAGGAACAUGUGGUUUAAUUCGAUGAUACGCGAGGAACCUUACCCGGGCUUAAAUUGCAGAUGAAUUACGGUGAAAGCCGUAAGCCGCAAGGCAUCUGUGAAGGUGCUGCAUGGUUGUCGUCAGCUCGUGCCGUGAGGUGUCGGCUUAAGUGCCAUAACGAGCGCAACCCUUGUUGUCAGUUACUAACAGGUUCCGCUGAGGACUCUGACAAGACUGCCAUCGUAAGAUGUGAGGAAGGUGGGGAUGACGUCAAAUCAGCACGGCCCUUACGUCCGGGGCUACACACGUGUUACAAUGGGGGGUACAGAGGGCCGCUACCACGCGAGUGGAUGCCAAUCCCAAAAACCUCUCUCAGUUCGGACUGGAGUCUGCAACCCGACUCCACGAAGCUGGAUUCGCUAGUAAUCGCGCAUCAGCCACGGCGCGGUGAAUACGUUCCCGGGCCUUGUACACACCGCCCGUCAAGCCAUGGGAGCCGGGGGUACCUGAAGUGCGUAACCGCGAGGAGCGCCCUAGGGUAAAACUGGUGACUGGGG
Molecule: ribosomal RNA, 1433 nt
Filed under: uncultured organism
Description: 16S ribosomal RNA
Rfam family: Bacterial small subunit ribosomal RNA
Source: RNAcentral